Molecule: transfer RNA, 74 nt
Filed under: Rickettsiales bacterium
Lineage: Bacteria; Pseudomonadati; Pseudomonadota; Alphaproteobacteria; Rickettsiales
Description: tRNA-Gln
Rfam family: tRNA
About the family: Transfer RNA (tRNA) molecules are approximately 80 nucleotides in length. Their secondary structure includes four short double-helical elements and three loops (D, anti-codon, and T loops). Further hydrogen bonds mediate the characteristic L-shaped molecular structure. tRNAs have two regions of fundamental functional importance: the anti-codon, which is responsible for specific mRNA codon recognition, and the 3' end, to which the tRNAs corresponding amino acid is attached (by aminoacyl-tRNA synthetases). tRNAs cope with the degeneracy of the genetic code in two manners: having more than one tRNA (with a specific anti-codon) for a particular amino acid; and 'wobble' base-pairing, i.e. permitting non-standard base-pairing at the 3rd anti-codon position.
Source: RNAcentral
UGGGGCAUAGUUUAAUGGUAGAACAACGGACUCUGACUCCGUAUAUAUUGGUUCGACUCCAGUUGCCCCAACCA